AGACACUUGGUACUCGUGGUUCGG
Molecule: non-coding RNA, 24 nt
Filed under: Arabidopsis thaliana (thale cress)
Lineage: Eukaryota; Viridiplantae; Streptophyta; Magnoliopsida; Brassicales; Brassicaceae
Source: RNAcentral